GAAGAAAAAAAAAACCCCACACACUAUGGUUAGUAUUGCUAUUACUUACUGCAAAUGGGAAACCACCUUUAAGGAUAACUAAAGAAAGGUAUGUAUGGCCUUGAAUGUCUUUUCAUUGGGAAGGGCACUGAACUUCUCAGAAAACUUGGUUUCCAAUCUUGGCUCUUUCACUUAGGGUCACAAAUUUUGGAGCUGAAAGGGACUUUGGAAUUCUAGUCCAACCUUUUCAUUUUACAAAUAAAGAAAGCGAAGCCCAGAGGGGUAGUAUAGCUGCCAGUAUCACACAGCUAGUAAGUGUCCAAGAUAGAAGGUGAAUCUAGGUCCUUUAAUUCCAAGUCCAGUGUGCUUUCUGCGGCUGGCUAUGUGACCUGGGGCUAGUCACUUAACCUCUGUUUCCUUAUCUUAAACUGGGGAUGCUGCUACUUCCACCCCUACCUUUGUGAGGGUCAUAUGAAAUCAGGUGUGUAGAAGUAAUUUGUAAACUAUAAAAUGCUAUUGAAAUGUGAAAAAUUAUGAGAAUUUAUGGUCUACCAUUUUCAACAACAUUCCAGUGUGGUAUAAUGGACAGAGGAUUGGUCUUAAUUCAGGAGGACUUGAGUUAAAGCCUCACCUCUGGUACAUACUGGAUAUGUGACCCUGGGCAAAUAGGAUUUAAUCUCUAAGUGCCCUGGACAACCCUCUAGAACUAUAAGGUACAGAGUAUGUGCCAGCCUUCAUUGGUAGAGCGUGUUUCCUCAUCUGGGAAUACUAAUGAAGUACAAAUACCAAUACUAAUGAAAUCACAGAUUUCUACAUUUGAUAUCAGUCGAAUACAAAGUGAAACCAAAGGGGCAUGGAGUCAUACAUCAAAUGAAUACACACACACACACACACACACACACACACACACACACACACACACACAGCAUUUCAAACCUUAAAGUGCUAAUGAAACAUGAGCUAUUGUUGUCAUUAUAGCUAAAGAGAACUUAGAGGUCAUUUGGUCAAAGUCCUUCAGUUUACAGAAGGGGAGACCAAGAUCUAGAGAGAGGGAAUGACUUUUCCAAGGUUAUUCAGGUAGUAAAGCUGGAGGUAGGUUUUACUCUAGGACUUCUGGUUCCAUCUUUCAUCAUCUUUCCAUGUACCAUGGUGUUAUAAAUUGAUGGAAGUAAAUAGAACAAUUUGGUUAUAGGAAUAGUAAAUAUGCAUGAAAGAACACAUUAAUGUUGUCUGUAGACCUUUUAAAAAGGAUAUCCUAAUUUUAAUUUCCCUUAACAUCAAGUCAAUAUCAUUUAUUUUUUAAAAUUUUUAUAAAAACCCAUCCAGGCACUGUAUUGCCUCAGAAUAAUUUCCAGUCUCUUUUUUACAAAGAGUAAAACCUUGAAACCUUGGGGUAAGGGUAGGACAGAUGGAUACCUCUCCUGUGUUCUUUCUCACUCUUUCACCCAUUUCUCCUAGGAAUCUUCAUUACCAGGAAGGGGAAGAAGACCUAUCAGAAGUCAAGAUGUAGAGUUCCAGCCAACCAGAUGUUGGAGAAACUGCUACCAUCUGCCUCUGGUCUACAGAAGUCUAUUCUUCCUCCUCUUCCUCUCUCAGGGUCUAGAAACAGCACAGAAUGAUGCUCUGAGGAUGAAGCAUUCUGGUUCAUAGGUAAAUCUUGAAGAAACUUCUGAGUGUACAUAUGUCACUUAAAUGGGAUGCAGUGAAAUAUGAGGUAACAGAAUAUUAGAGGGUAUAUUUCCCACCUCGUGGCAUUGUUCAUGCUGUCCCUUUUGCCUUGAAAGACCUUUUUGCUUCUAGCCAUUAGAAUCUAUCUCCUCCUUGUUGAAGGCCCACUUCCAAUGAUGCCUCUUCGUUGAACACUUUCCAGGUUCCCCAGUAGGAUGUGAUUUCUCACUCCUCUGACCUCCCACGGUAUUCAGUACCUCUCACGUCCCUUACCUCAUCUUGUCUGAAGGUAACCAUGCCUACAGAUACUCACAGAGAGAUGGGAAGGAGGUGAAGGAUACUUGGAAGAAGAGCAAAGCUGAUGGAGGGACAGAGGGAGAGACAUGAGGAAUGGAGAACAGCCCCAGUCAAAUGUGUAAAUGUUCUUGGAAGGAGCUGAGAUAUUUACCCUGCUGGUGAAAGUCAUUAUUCUGAGGGGAGAAGGGGGAAAGUCAUUCUUAUAACACAGGAGCAGAUAAAAUAAUAACUGACUAUACAGGGCUUUAAAGUUUGGAGAUCUCGUUAUGUGUUUCUCAUUUGAGUUAGGUUGUCUGUUUUACAUGUGAGGAAAUGGAACUUGUAAAGUAACUUGUCAGUGGUCACGCAGCUGGUAAGCAUUGGAAUUGGGCCAGGUGAGAGACACGGACGGAAGCACAGAGAAGUCCAAAGUCACUGGCUGACAGGUAGAAUGGUCAUGCCAUCAGCAGAAAUAAAAGAAAUUAUGGCGAGCAUCAAGUUCUGGGAAGUGCUUCCUUGUUUUGAGAAUGUUGAGUUUGGGGGAACUGUGCUACAUCUAAGUGGUGCUGUGACUUGCUGAGGCCAAGCCCAGCUCUCUGUCUCUUAUGGCCUGGUGCCUUUCUCUAGAGGGCUGAAAUUGUUUAAGUAAGCAUCUACUUCCAGGCUGUUGACAUGACGUUUUUCUUUUUUUUUUUCCAUAGGCAACUGGGGUUAAGUGACUUGCCCAGGAUCACGCAACUAGGUCUCCAAACUCUUCAUCUUCUUUCCUGAUCCUCCCUCUACACAGAGAAGAAGCAGGAAUUUCUUCAAAUAAGAAUCAGAACUUCAGCUCUCUACAGCUGUGGCAUAUGUGGUCCCUAGUCUGUUUAUUUGGGGACAGAGGAAGAAAGCU
This is a non-coding RNA of Phascolarctos cinereus (koala), 2815 nucleotides long. Lineage: Eukaryota; Metazoa; Chordata; Mammalia; Diprotodontia; Phascolarctidae. The record is from RefSeq and is a predicted model, not a curated record.